AUUGCUUCUUGGCCUUUUGGCUAAGAUCAAGUGGAGUAUCUGUUAUUAUCAGUUUAAUAUAUGAUACAUCCUCUAUCUGAGGACAAUAUAGUAAAUGGAUUUUUGGAACUAGGAAAUGGAAUAGGAGCUUGUUCCAUCCACUCCAUGCAUCGAUCUGGUAUUGCAGUAUUUCUAGGAAUGGUGCACCAGAA
This is a small nuclear RNA of Carlito syrichta (Philippine tarsier), 191 nucleotides long. Its record names the gene U2. It matches the Rfam family "U2 spliceosomal RNA". From Rfam's summary of the family: U2 is a small nuclear RNA (snRNA) component of the spliceosome (involved in pre-mRNA splicing). Complementary binding between U2 snRNA (in an area lying towards the 5' end but 3' to hairpin I) and the branchpoint sequence (BPS) of the intron results the bulging out of an unpaired adenosine, on the BPS, which initiates a nucleophilic attack at the intronic 5' splice site, thus starting the first of two transesterification reactions that mediate splicing. Lineage: Eukaryota; Metazoa; Chordata; Mammalia; Primates; Tarsiidae. The record is from Ensembl.